This is a long non-coding RNA of Astatotilapia calliptera (eastern happy), 553 nucleotides long. The record is from Ensembl. NCBI's taxonomy places the organism in Eukaryota, Metazoa, Chordata, Actinopteri, Cichliformes, Cichlidae.
UAGCUCUUUGGGUGUGCACAGUGUUGGAGAGAACACAAUGUUCCCUGAACUCUGCCGACGCUGAUAUGCAUGCUGACUGAAUGCUGAUCAAAGGUCUGUGGUACGAGCACACAAAUCUCAUAUUUUUAUAUCGACAAAACAAAGAACUGCUUUCUUUUUUUUUUAUUAUGCUGAUUUAUUUCAGAUGAUCCAAGUGAUGAAACCUUUAAAGCCGAAGAGUCAGAUGUGCCUGCUGAUUUGGACUGGUUAGAAGAAUUGUCUGAAGAGGAUGAUGGUGUUGACGAUGGUGACCUUGCGGUUGUAAGAAGAGGAGUUCUGCCGAGACAGCACGGAUGUUCAAGCUGAGACGAAACCUCGACCAGCUGGACUGCUUUCACCGACAGAAGGAGCAUGACGUGCUGAAAGCCAGGUCUGAACCUGGCACUGACAGACCUCUAGAGCUACAGAAGCUCCUUACCUACAUUUUGUGAACCUUUCUAGACUCCACACAAACCAGUACCAGUAGAAAAGCUUUUUUAUGAGAAUUUAAAAAAAAUACACAGGCUUUUGCCCA